CAAAUUUAAAAUCUACCUGGUUUYCAGGUCGAGUUGUAAUUUGAAGAUACGUUUUUGACGUUCCGGGUUGRACUAAAUCCUUUGGGAUAAGGUAUCAUGGAGGGUGAGAAUCCCGUAUAUACCAACCRYAGGGAUGUUAUUUAAUACSUUUCUAAGAGUCGAGUUGUUUGGGAAUGCAGCUCUAAAUGGGUGGUAAAUUUCACCUAAUGCUAAAUAUAAGCGAGAGACCGAUAGYGAACAAGUACAGUGAUGGAAAGAUGAAAAGAACUUUGAAAAGAGAGUUAAAUAGUAYGUGAAAUUGUUGAAAGGGAAACGAUUGAAGUCAGUCAUGCCRGUGGGAAUCAACUUAGAGGAAACUCUGAGUGCACUUYUUCGCUUGGCAGGUCAACGUYGAUUUUGGAUGUCAUAAAAWGAUUGGGGGAAGGUAGCUCYUUCGGGAGUGUUAUAGCCCUUGGUAGAUGUGAUGUCUGGGAUCGAGGAUUGCAAUGGAUACCCUUUGGGGCUAGCCGCCUGAUCUCUAAUYGGUAUUGGGUUACGGAUAGCAUGCUGACCGUGAUCUAAUUAUUGGUUAAAAGGUUAG
RNAcentral lists this ribosomal RNA (580 nucleotides) under Glomeromycotina sp. RNAcentral describes it as "partial 28S ribosomal RNA". It matches the Rfam family "Eukaryotic large subunit ribosomal RNA", at positions 110 to 629 of the family's 3401-position model. The record is from RNAcentral. Lineage: Eukaryota; Fungi; Glomeromycota.